This 460-nucleotide ribosomal RNA is filed under the name uncultured bacterium. RNAcentral's name for it is "partial 16S ribosomal RNA". It matches the Rfam family "Bacterial small subunit ribosomal RNA", at positions 338 to 795 of the family's 1533-position model. The record is from RNAcentral.
CCUACGGGAGGCAGCAGUGAGGAAUAUUGGUCAAUGGACGAGAGUCUGAACCAGCGAAGUAGCGUGAAGGAUGACUGCCCUAGGGGUUGUAAACUUCUUUUAUAGGGGAAUAAAAUGUUCCACGUGUGGGAUUUUGUAUGUACCAUAUCAAUACAGAACGGUUAACUCCGUGCCAGCGGCCGCGGUAAUACGGAUGUUCCGAGCGUUAUCCGGAUUUAUUGGGUUUAAAGGGAGCGGAGGGGGAGCGUCAAGCCAGUUGUGAAAGCUGGGGGCUCAACCGUAAAAUUGCAGUUGAAACUGGCAGUCUUGAGUACAGGAGAGGUGGGCGGAAUUCGUGGUGUAGCGGUGAAAUGCUUAGAUAUCACGAAGAACUCCGAUUGCGAAGGCAGCUCACUGGACUGCAACUGACGCUGAGGCUCGAAAGUGUGGGUAGCAAACAGGAUUAGAUACCCCUGUAGUC